RNAcentral lists this long non-coding RNA (308 nucleotides) under Physcomitrium patens. RNAcentral's name for it is "long non-coding RNA (PPAT_LNC001604)". The record is from RNAcentral. Lineage: Eukaryota; Viridiplantae; Streptophyta; Bryopsida; Funariales; Funariaceae.
UCCUGAAAUUUUGAGCCAAAACCUUAUCAAAUUGCUCAAGAUAUAGCUCAAGACACAACCACUAGUAAAUCGGGUCACUUACUACUCUUAGAUUGCAUGCGUUGAAUUCAAAAUCCAAUAACUCCUUCAACCCAACUUGGAAUCCAGCAAGCAGUAUGCAAAAAGUGUAGCCACAAAAGUACUCUCUCUAGUUGCAGUCGCCGAUCCACAAUUGCUAUGUGUACGCGUGCGUUAUGCCAAAAAGAGUGACUGUAGCUCCCAAAUCAACACCUUAACUUUGAGUGCUUGUAUCUCCUUCAUAUAAACUC